RNAcentral lists this small nuclear RNA (18 nucleotides) under Arabidopsis thaliana (thale cress). RNAcentral describes it as "snRNA_02495". The record is from RNAcentral. Lineage: Eukaryota; Viridiplantae; Streptophyta; Magnoliopsida; Brassicales; Brassicaceae.
GAGAAACCAGACCCCGAC